This 73-nucleotide transfer RNA is filed under the name Ictidomys tridecemlineatus (thirteen-lined ground squirrel). RNAcentral describes it as "Spermophilus tridecemlineatus (thirteen-lined ground squirrel) tRNA". It matches the Rfam family "tRNA". Rfam says of the family: Transfer RNA (tRNA) molecules are approximately 80 nucleotides in length. Their secondary structure includes four short double-helical elements and three loops (D, anti-codon, and T loops). Lineage: Eukaryota; Metazoa; Chordata; Mammalia; Rodentia; Sciuridae. RNAcentral also lists the same sequence under 1 other name. The record is from Rfam by way of RNAcentral.
GGGGAUGUAGCUCAGAUGGUAGAGUGCUUGUCCCAUAUACACAAGGCCCUGGGUUCAAACCCCAGCACUACAA